UACGGAGGGGGCUAGCGUUGUUCGGAAUUACUGGGCGUAAAGCGUGCGUAGGCGGUUCGUUAAGUCUGUUGUGAAAGCCCCGGGCUCAACCUGGGAAUGGCAAUGGAUACUGGCGAGCUAGAGUGUGUCAGAGGAUGGUGGAAUUCCCGGUGGUAGCGGUGAAAUGCGUAGAGAUCGGGAGGAACAUCAGUGGCGAAGGCGGCCAUCUGGGACAACACUGACGCUGAGGCACGAAAGCGUGGGGAGCAAACAGG
RNAcentral lists this ribosomal RNA (254 nucleotides) under uncultured bacterium. Its description in RNAcentral is "partial 16S ribosomal RNA". It matches the Rfam family "Bacterial small subunit ribosomal RNA", at positions 524 to 776 of the family's 1533-position model. The record is from RNAcentral.